Girardinichthys multiradiatus is the source of this 1917-nucleotide long non-coding RNA. RefSeq lists it as uncharacterized. NCBI's taxonomy places the organism in Eukaryota, Metazoa, Chordata, Actinopteri, Cyprinodontiformes, Goodeidae. The transcript has 2 exons. The record is from RefSeq and is a predicted model, not a curated record.
UCUGAACAAACUUUAUAUUUCCUUUUCAUAUUGUCCCACUUUUUUUUUUUUGGCCUGCAAGGGGGUGACCUUCCCUUGUUGUCACUAAUAGAGGAAAAACAUAAAAUUCUGAAAAUACAAAUGUGUAUAACCAUGUGACGAGCUCCAUAGUUGGAAGGCAUCUUUGACAUCACCCUAAUCUUUAGUUCCCUCCACAGAUCUGUUAUCAGAUUCAAACCGAGACCUCUUGCUGCACCACUCCAAAACUGUAAUAUCAUUUUCAGGCAGAAGAAACAUGUUAAAAUGAAAAGAUUAACUUAAACCUAAAUCGCCCAGGAGCAUGAGCCAGUUUUGGCCUAACUGUAAAACCUUGAAGUCCUCAGAGACCUCUUCAGUCAGUGCUCACAGAAUCAUCUAUCUCCCUCUAAAAGCCAAUCUGUGGAAAAUCUAUUAAAAAGGUUAAAGGACACUAAAACUUGGAUGGAGCCUAACUUCCUAUAUUUGAAUGGAUAUAAAACACAGGUGAUGGUUUUUGGGGAAAGAGACUUGUGAACAGAGAGUGGCAGUGCAAUUGGUCCUUUAAAUUAUUUUAGUUGUACUGCUGUCAGGAAUUAUGGGGUAUUUUUGAUAAUGGUUUUAAAUUUGAUAAACAGGUUUAUGCAGUAGACCAGUCUAGCUUCUACCAUCUGAGGUUGAUUGCUAAAAUUAGAUCAUAUCUACCUCCUAGUGCCCUUGAAAGGGUGAUACACUCUUUUGUUAUGUCUAGACUGGACUACUGCAACUCUCUCUAUACUGGGACAGACAAUUCUCUUCUUCGUCAUCUGCAGCUGGUCCACAACGCUGCCGUCCUUUUGCUGUUCGGUAAAAGAAGACGUAAACAUAUUACUCUAUUGUUCUCUCUGCAAUGGCUGCCUGGAUGUUUUAAGAUUAUAUUUAAGAUUUUACUUUUGGUUUUUAAAUGCUUAAAUAUUCAGGCACAUACGUAUUGGAGCUUUUAAACAAGGAUGAUCCCAGCAGAACUCCGAGGUCAUGUAACCUGCUGCUUUUAGAUGUUUCUAGAUCUUGUCUUGUGAGCCGAGGAGACAGAGCUUGCUCUGAUGCAGCACCCAAACUGUGGAAUGAUCUUCCACUCACUGUGCAAAAUCAAGAAAGUCUAAAGAAGGGAGGCCUAUGGAGGCAAAGAAGGAAGGAUGUGAGGAGACACACAAGAAAGGAAGGAGGGAACAAGAAAGAAAAAAAGGGCACAAGGAAGAAUGCAAGGAAGGACAGAAGAAAGGUAUACAUGGAAGACAGAAAUUAUUUGUUUUCCUUAUUAAAUUUUUGUUCUGGAGUCCCUGAAAUAUAUUUCUAGCAAGAAGAAAUGGUAACUUAGACAUUUCUAAAUUCAGCUUUUACAAGUAAAAUAAGAUUUGGCAUGUGGCUUUAUUAUAAGACGCGUCCUUUUUACUUUUAGCUAAAUUUUAUUUAGUUUGAAUAAUCUUGAAAAACCUGAAAUAAAGAAAAUCAGUCUCAUCUUAAAUGUUUUAAAAACUGUUAAAUUGUAAUUAAAUACACGUGGGUUUCUUUUAAAUACGACUUCCUGAUCUAAAAAUAUUUUAAGCUGCUUUAUAUCAAUAAUCACUUAUUGCAGGACAGAUAAAAUCCCCAAUCAAACAAUUAGGCAACAACCUUUCAUAACUACAGUAGCAGUGCUUGUUUUACACUGUACAAACCUAAUUACAUUCUUUUAGUAGAUAAACAUGAGUGACAGAAUUCAGUUGUAAAGAGAAAAGGUUACGCUGUGUCUUAAAAAAAGUUUUAAUUCUGAAAGGAUGACAGGAUGACUGGAGAAAAGGUUACUAAAUACAAAUCGUACACUAUAGCAGUCCCACAGAAAUUAGCUCAGUUCAGGGGUAUCAACAUAAAUUGCAUAUUAAUCAGCUCAGAAAAAGAAAUAAA